AUACGGAGGAUGCAAGCGUUAUCCGGAUUUAUUGGGUUUAAAGGGUGCGUAGGCGGUUUGCUAAGCGGGAGGUGAAAUGCCGGCGCUCAACGUCGGAAGUGCCUCCCGAACUGGUGGACUUGAAUGACUCUGCCGUGGGAGGAAUGUGUAGUGUAGCGGUGAAAUGCUUAGAGAUUACACAGAACACCGAUUGCGAAGGCAUCUCACGAAGGGUUGAUUGACGCUGAGGCACGAAAGCGUGGGGAUCAAGCAGGAUUAGAUACCCUGGUAGUCCACGCAGUAAACGAUGAUGGCUAACCGCUGGGCUUAUCAGUUCAGUGGCCAAGCGAAAGCGAUAAGCCAUCCACCUGGGGAGUACGACCGCAAGGUUGAAACUCAAAUGAAUUGGCGGGG
Molecule: ribosomal RNA, 393 nt
Filed under: uncultured bacterium
Lineage: Bacteria
Description: partial 16S ribosomal RNA
Rfam family: Bacterial small subunit ribosomal RNA
Source: RNAcentral